AUAAAAUUUAUUUAUUAAUUUAAUUUAGUAUUUAUUUAUUUUUAAUAAAAAUAAUUUUAAAAUUUUAUGUUUUGUAUUGUAUAAAGAAAUAAUAAUUUUAAUAAUAGUAUAUUUGUAUUGUGAAAGAAAAUUGAAAUAAUAUGAAAAAUUUUUAUAAUAAAAGAAAAUUUGAUUUAUUGUACCUUGUGUAUCAGGGUUUAUUAAUUAAAAAAUAAUAAUAUUUAUUUUUCUCGAAUUUAUAAGAUCUAAUUAAUUAUUUUAGUUAAUGUGGCAUAAUUAUUCAUAAUAAUUAAUUAGAAAUGAAACGUUAUUCGUUUAUAAAUAUAUCUAGUUAUUUAAGAAAUAAAUUUAAUUUAUAUAUUAUUGUAGUAAUUAGUUAAUUUAUUAAUUAAUUAUUUUUUAAUAUAAAUAUUUUAAGGGAUGAGCUUUAAAAUAAAAUUUUAUAAAUGUAUCUUUGUUAUAAUAAAUGUAAGCUUAGAAAUAGUUAUCAUUAAUAAAUUUGUUAUAAUAUAUUUUAUAAUAAUUAUUAUUUAUUUUUUUUUUAAAUUUUUAUUAAAUUAUUAAUUUUAACUUAAAAAAUUAAGAAAUAAUGAUAAAAUUAGUAUAUUUAUAUUUAUAAAUAAUAAUCUUUGAAAGGUUUUAUUAAGGAAUUCGGCAAAUUUAGUUCUCACCUGUUUAUCAAAAACAUGUCUUUUUGAAUCUAUUUAAAGUCUAACCUGCCCACUGAAUUAUUUAAAGGGCCGCGGUAUUUUGACCGUGCAAAGGUAGCAUAAUCAUUAGUUUUUUAAUUGAAAGCUUGUAUGAAUGGUUGGAUGAGGAAUUAGCUGUCUCAAAAAAAUUUAUAAUUGAAUUUAUCUUUUUUGUUAAAAGACAAAAAUAUAAUUAAAGGACGAGAAGACCCUAUAGAGCUUUAUAAAUUUAUAAUAUAAAAUGUAAAGAAUUUUUUGUAUUAUAUUAAAAAAUUUAUUUUGUUGGGGUGACAAUAAAAUUUAAAAAACUUUUAUUAAUUAAUAAACAUUAAUUUAUGAAUAAAUGAUCCAUUAUUAGUGAUUAAAAAUUUAAGUUACCUUAGGGAUAACAGCGUAAUUUUUUUUGAGAGUUCAUAUCGACAAAAAAGAUUGCGACCUCGAUGUUGGAUUAAGAAUUAUUUUUAGGUGUAGAAGUUUAAAGUUUAGGUCUGUUCGACCUUUGAAUUCUUACAUGAUCUGAGUUCAAACCGGUGUAAGCCAGGUUGGUUUCUAUCCUUAAUUUUUAAAAAUAUUUUAGUACGAAAGGACCAAAUAUUUAAAAUAUUAAUUUUUUAUUUAUGAAUUUAAUUAAUAA
Molecule: ribosomal RNA, 1323 nt
Filed under: Symplecta hybrida
Lineage: Eukaryota; Metazoa; Arthropoda; Insecta; Diptera; Limoniidae
Description: 16S ribosomal RNA
Rfam family: Archaeal large subunit ribosomal RNA (bases 1074-1233)
Source: RNAcentral